AUAGGCCUGCGGUGUUUGGUAAAGAGACAAUUCUCUUGGCUCAAACUACAACCAUGGGAGACGGCAUAGUCUGGUUGCAUUGCUCCGGCGGAGAGGUCUGCCUCUUUGAGCAGGAACAGAAUGCCAGGCAACUAGUUUCCCCCUUGAACCUUAGGUUCAAGAGAUAUCCUCCGAACUGCACCGCAGGUCAUUU
Molecule: non-coding RNA, 193 nt
Filed under: Spirochaetales bacterium
Lineage: Bacteria; Pseudomonadati; Spirochaetota; Spirochaetia; Spirochaetales
Also listed under: 1 other name
Description: 6S RNA
Rfam family: 6S / SsrS RNA
About the family: E. coli 6S RNA was the first non coding RNA to be sequenced, but its function was unknown until recently. It consists of 184 nucleotides that fold into an extended hairpin structure with a large single-stranded internal bulge.
Source: RNAcentral